GAUUAUGGCUCAGGAUGAACGCAGCGACAGGCUUAACACAUGCAAGUCGAGGGGCAGCACGGGAGUAGCAAUACAACUGGUGGCGACCGGCGCACGGGUGAGUAACGCGUAUGCAACCUACCUAUCAGAGGGGAAUAACCCGGCGAAAGUCGGACUAAUACCGCAUAAAACAGGGGCACCGCAUGGUGAUAUUUGUUAAAGAAAUUCGCUGAUAGAUGGGCAUGCGUUCCAUUAGGUAGUUGGUGAGGUAACGGCUCACCAAGCCGACGAUGGAUAGGGGAACUGAGAGGUUGGUCCCCCACACUGGUACUGAGACACGGACCAGACUCCUACGGGAGGCAGCAGUGAGGAAUAUUGGUCAAUGGGCGAGAGCCUGAACCAGCCAAGUCGCCGUGAAGGAAGAAGGAUCUAUGGUUCGUAAACUUCUUUUGCAGGGGAAUAAAGUGCGGGACGUGUCCUGUUUUGUAUGUACCCUGAGAAUAAGGAUCGGCUAACUCCGUGCCAGCCGCCGC
RNAcentral lists this ribosomal RNA (512 nucleotides) under uncultured bacterium. Its description in RNAcentral is "bacterial SSU rRNA". It matches the Rfam family "Bacterial small subunit ribosomal RNA", at positions 15 to 518 of the family's 1533-position model. The record is from RNAcentral.